AAUAAUUAUUUAAACAAAAUAAUUUAUAAAAAAAAGUUAAGAUUUAAGAUUUUAAAAAAAUAGAUAAGAUUAAAGAAUUUCAAAUAUUUUAAAAGAUAUAAAAUAUUUGAAAUUUCACUCCACUCCUUUGUUACACUCCGCACUCUACUCUAUCUCCUCCCUCUACUCUAUCUCCUCCCUCUACACUACUUUUACACAAUCUUCACACGUCUUUGCCCUUCAUUUUCUCUCUUGUUGUUCUUGGUUUGCUCUUUUACUUGAAGAGUCUGUGACUUGCAAUUAUGGCCACAGUGUC
This 295-nucleotide long non-coding RNA is filed under the name Vigna radiata. Its description in RNAcentral is "long non-coding RNA (VRAD_LNC010494)". The record is from RNAcentral. Lineage: Eukaryota; Viridiplantae; Streptophyta; Magnoliopsida; Fabales; Fabaceae.